Manacus vitellinus (golden-collared manakin) is the source of this 1399-nucleotide long non-coding RNA. Lineage: Eukaryota; Metazoa; Chordata; Aves; Passeriformes; Pipridae. The record is from Ensembl.
AUGACCCCGGCGAGCAGGACAACUCGGACAACAACACGAUCUUCGUGCAGGGGCUGGGCGAGAACGUCACCAUCGAGUCCGUGGCCGACUACUUCAAACAGAUCGGCAUCAUCAAGGUACACGCGUGCCCUUGGCGUGUUCGGGGUCCCUGGCGGGUCACUGCGUGUGCUUGGUGUGUCAGCACAUGUGAUUGAUGUGUUCUGGGUCCUUGGUGUGUCACCGCGUGUGCUUGGUGUGUUAGCACGUGGCUUUGGCGUGUUCCUGUGGCCCUGGCGUGUUCUGGGCCCUUGGUGUGUCAUCGCGUGUGCUUGGUGUGUGUUUGAGCCCUUGGUGUGUCACCGCAUGUGCUUGGCGUGUUCGGGGUCCCUGCUGUGUCACCGCGUGUGCUUGGUGUGUUAGCACGUGGCUUUGGGGGGUUCCUGUGGCCCUGGGGUGUUCUGGGUCCUCGGCGUGUCACCGCGUGUGCUUGGCGUGUUCUGAGUCCUUGGUGUGUCACCACAUGUUCUUAGUGUGUGUUUGAGUCCUUGGUGUGUCACCGCGUGUGCUUGGUGUGUGUUUGAGUCCUUGGAGUGUCACUGUGUGUUCUUAGUGUGUUCUGAGUCCUUGGUGUGUCACCGCGUGUGCUUGGUGUGUUUUUGGGUCCUUGGUGUGUCACCACGUGUGCUUGGCGUGUGUUUGAGUCCUUGGUGUGUCAGCACAUGUCCUUGGUGUGUCAGCACAUGUGAUUGAUGUGUUCUGGGUCCUUGGUGUGUCACCGCGUGUGCUUGCUGUGUGUUUGAGUCCUCAGUGUGUCACCGCGUGUUCUUAGUGUGUGUUUGAGUCCUUGCUGUGUCACCACAUGUCUUUGGUGUGUCCCUGUGGCCCUGGCGUGUUCUGAGCCCUUGGUGUGUCACUCUGUGUGCUUGGCAUGUUAUCACCUGUGCUUGGUGUGUUCUGGGUCCUUGGUGUGUCACCGCGUGUGCUUGGUGUGUUCUGAGCCCUUGGUGUGUCACCGCGUGUGCUUGGCGUGUUCGGGGUCCCUGGCGUGUCACCGCGUGUGCUUGGUGUGUUAGCACGUGGCUUUGGGGGGUUCCUGUGGCCCUGGGGUGUUCUGGGUCCUCGGCGUGUCACCGCGUGUGCUUGGCGUGUUCUGGGUCCUUGGUGUGUCACCACAUGUUCUUAGUGUGUGUUUGAGUCCUUGGCGUGUUCUGGGUCCUUGGUGUGUCACCGCGUGUUCUUAGUGUGUGUUUGAGUCCUUGGUGUGUCACCACAUGUCCUUGGUGUGUCCCUGUGGCCCUGGCGUGUUCUGAGCUCUUGGUGUGUCACUCUGUGUGCUUGGCAUGUUAUCACCUGUGCUUGGUGUGUUCUGGGUCCUUGGUGUGUCACUGUGUGUUCUGAGUGUGUGUUUGAGUCCUUGGUG